RNAcentral lists this non-coding RNA (21 nucleotides) under Arabidopsis thaliana (thale cress). The record is from RNAcentral. Lineage: Eukaryota; Viridiplantae; Streptophyta; Magnoliopsida; Brassicales; Brassicaceae.
UGAUAACCUAUGCUCUUUCAA